GGAGAGAUGGCCGAGAGGUCGAAGGCGCCUGACUCGAAAUCAGGUAUACCCACCGGGUAUCUAGGGUUCGAAUCCCUAUCUCUCCG
RNAcentral lists this transfer RNA (86 nucleotides) under Geobacter sp. DSM 9736. It matches the Rfam family "tRNA". Rfam says of the family: Transfer RNA (tRNA) molecules are approximately 80 nucleotides in length. Their secondary structure includes four short double-helical elements and three loops (D, anti-codon, and T loops). The record is from Rfam by way of RNAcentral. Lineage: Bacteria; Pseudomonadati; Thermodesulfobacteriota; Desulfuromonadia; Geobacterales; Geobacteraceae.